UACGAAGGGGGCUAGCGUUGCUCGGAAUCACUGGGCGUAAAGGGUGCGUAGGCGGGUCUUUAAGUCAGGGGUGAAAUCCUGGAGCUCAACUCCAGAACUGCCUUUGAUACUGAGGAUCUUGAGUUCGGGAGAGGUGAGUGGAACUGCGAGUGUAGAGGUGAAAUUCGUAGAUAUUCGCAAGAACACCGGUGGCGAAGGCGGCUCUCUGGACCGGAUCUGACGCUGAGGCGCGAAAGCGUGGGGAGCAAACAGG
RNAcentral lists this ribosomal RNA (253 nucleotides) under uncultured bacterium. Its description in RNAcentral is "partial 16S ribosomal RNA". It matches the Rfam family "Bacterial small subunit ribosomal RNA", at positions 524 to 776 of the family's 1533-position model. The record is from RNAcentral.